CGCCCCUCUCUCCUCUCCCUCACUCUGAUCUGAUCUGAAUCCACCGUCGCCCACCCCCACCGCCACCCACCGUCGCCCACCCCCUCCGCCGACGACCCUCACCAUCGAGCCCACGCCCAGAUCCGCGCUCUCUAGUACUCGCCCGCAACCCUCACCCGUGGCUAGGGUUUCGGCCGCCACCCCUAAAUUCGUCGGGAUCUGCCACAUCCAGCGACAGCGAGGCCAGAGGUGGCCGGAUCUGGCACCGGCAAGCCCCUCCCCUCCUUAUUCGCGCACUAUCUCCUCCUCACCUCACCUUGUCUUGUGUUCCCUUUCGGCAGGUGGAUGGGAUGACGACGAUGGCAGGAGGGGCGAACCUCCAUGGGACGGGUCGCCACCAAGGAGAUGGAGCUCUUUCUCCCCUACCACGCAACCUCCCUCCCAGCGCCAAUAGAGCGCCGGCUACCAUGACGCGACAGCGCUGUCGCAAGCCUCGCGGGGCUGUGCAUCUCGUCGUCUGCCACGCCCUACCAGGAGCUACAUCACCCACACGUCUCCUCUGAAGAAGGGGACGAUGGCUUGUGCGUCGGCGUGGUUGGCUCCAGCUCCCCGCCGACCUAUGACUCCACAUGCGUCGCCGUCUUCGACCACAGGUCACCCAUCCUUGAGGAGCAGAAGGAGGGACGCAUCUAGUUGACGAUCAAGGGCCUGCUCUGCUCCUCUUCUUCCUUGACCAUCGGUACCACCAUGUUCCCGGGCUUCCAAGGUGCGCCAGCACACCGCCGCCAUGCCUCCUCUGCUCUCCGGGCUCGGACCAAUCGCUCGCCCCUUCAGGUCCGGCAGCACCGCCGCGUCGACGACGAAGGUGGUGACUGCGGCGGCGAGCGGCGCGAGUUGGUGGCUAUGGGACUCGGCGGCACGGCUCUCGUCAGCGGUGACAGAGGCGGUUCUUAGGCGAGCCGAGCGUGCCUCCUCCCCGUCCCCAAAAUCGCGUCCCUUUAACGCGUUCCAUUUCGAACAGCCGGCGCAUCAGCGUUGUCGGAGCGCAUGAUAGACUACUAAAUGGACAAGUAUCUGCAACGUUCAGCGUCGAAGAUGAUGCUUACCAGAUGUUCUACUACAGCCCCAUCCAUAUCAUCGACAUGAAGUUAGAUUUUGGCCUUCAUUCGUCAAAAGUUGGUGUACAAGGAACUCCAGGUGAAGAAUCUUUAAGUAAAUAAUUUAUAUAGAUCAGGAUCUUAUGUUGUCGAGGUGGCUGCUGUUGUGACCAAAGAUCAGCCUGGAGAUGUGCAUCAUAGUUUUAGUUGAUGUUGCCACUAUGUUUUGGUGCAUGUGUAUUUGAUUGUAUGUACACUUGAUGGACCGUGUAGUCGUGUACGUGCUGUUUGAGUUUCAUUUAGUGAUUUCUGGAUUUGAUCAUUUAAUUCAGAAAAUUAUAUAUUGUUUGC
Long non-coding RNA from Triticum aestivum (bread wheat), 1427 nucleotides. RefSeq lists it as uncharacterized. NCBI's taxonomy places the organism in Eukaryota, Viridiplantae, Streptophyta, Magnoliopsida, Poales, Poaceae. The record is from RefSeq and is a predicted model, not a curated record. The transcript has 5 exons.